Long non-coding RNA from Mus caroli (Ryukyu mouse), 922 nucleotides. RefSeq lists it as uncharacterized. NCBI's taxonomy places the organism in Eukaryota, Metazoa, Chordata, Mammalia, Rodentia, Muridae. The record is from RefSeq and is a predicted model, not a curated record.
GGAUGGAGGGAAGGAAAAAGGGAGGAGGGAGGGAGCACAGGGAAAAACUGGAUGGCACCUCUCCAAGUGCGUUCCAAGUGUGUUAGUGUCAGGUUCCGUGGAACAUUUCUGGGGACACACUGUCUGAAAACCAGAGCCAACAGAAGCAAUCAGAGCCAACAACACUGUGGUCUUUCUGAAUAUCUGAGACAAAGGACACUGGCAAUGCUGGGGACACCUGAAGCUGGAGAACCCAAUUUCAGUUCAGGGUCUUCCUUUCCCUUGAGGCCACGGAGCACACGGAGCCGACUGAGCGCAAGGAGCACAUGGGUCCCUUUCUGUGUGCUUUGCAGCAGGGUGGUGCUAUGCAGCCCAGGCAGGACUUGAACUCCGAUCCUCUUGUCUCAGUCUCCCAAGUUUGAGAUCGUAGGUGUACAACAUGACACCACCACACAACCGGGUUUAAAAAAAAUGUUUUAGUGUCUGGCUCAGCAGGAUUCUCUCAGAUGUUCUCAAAGGUUCUUCAGACUAGGAAGAAGAUAAAGCUGAAACCAGAAGAAAGAGUUGCUAAUAGCCCAUGGAUGGACCAAUCCUUUAACCCCAGAGGCUUCUGGGAGUGGAGAGCUGGGCAAAAUAAAGCAAAUAAUAAAAUACAGGAGGGCCCCUGGCCCAGGGCGGUGGAGGUGAUGGGAGUUGGAGUCACUUGCCUGUCAGGACCUAUAUCAACAUGUCAGCCACUUGGACAAACAAGCGUUGCGAGGGGAAAUAUUUCAGAUAAACAGACACGAUGUUAUGACAUAUCACCCCCCCGCCCCCAACCCUGGAAAAGGGGGUCGGUCAGAGACCAAGGAGAAGAAGAAAGGAAGCAACGCCAUGCGGAGAUCUGUUUUCCCUGGCUUGAGGCCCCGGAGGGUCAGCUGUAAAUAAAAUAGGUUUUUCAUUA